UUAGUACGACUCUGGCCAACUGCGCAAAAGACAUACUAAAUGUAAAGAUUAUUAUGUAAGUGGGGGAAAGUAAAGGCUCAAGGGUAUAAUAAAAAGGAAGAAACUUCAUAAGGAGUACAAUAUCUAUGGAUACGUUAAUACUUGUUCAUGAAAAAAGACUGAUCGGAGGCUGAGGAUGAAAUUACUGUUUGAUUUUUGUGAAGCGGUCCUGCUUUGGGUCCUACAGUAGACUGAAGAGAAAGUGGAGGCUACCCUAGACCAGGGCUACGUCUUGAUCAGUCGUCCAGUGGAAGGCCCAGCCAUGAUUGAGAAAAUUGAUCGUAUUGUGUAUACCAUCAUACACAUGCCAAACUACACAGAAAAUAAGAAGAAAAGCUUACUUGUAAAACUGGUCCAUUCCCCAUCAUUGAAAAAUGGUGGUACCCUUGAGCAGUCAGAUGUUGUUGCUGUGUUUGAUACCUGCAUUAGUAUCAUCACUACAGAAGAUAAUGAAGGAACAGCUCAGCUUGCUGUCUUUGCAUUUAAUAGCUGGGCAGGACAACACAAAAAUUACCUUAAAGAAUACUUGACCCCUGAAAAAGUCAGUUAUGUAUUAAGUGGACAGACAAAUAAUGUAAUGAUUAUUGGUUGGUUAAAAGAAACACUGUGUCAUUUAAUAAAAGAUGCAGACACUAUAAGCACAUU
Macrobrachium nipponense is the source of this 684-nucleotide long non-coding RNA. RefSeq lists it as uncharacterized. The record is from RefSeq and is a predicted model, not a curated record. The transcript has 3 exons. Lineage: Eukaryota; Metazoa; Arthropoda; Malacostraca; Decapoda; Palaemonidae.